GGUGCGUCCCGUCCAUGUAGGUGCGUCCCAUCCAUGUAGGUGCGUCCCGUCCGUGUAGGUGCGUCCUGUCCGUGUAGGUGCGUCCCGUCCGUGUAGGUGCGUCCUGUCCGUGUAGGUGCGUCCCGUCCGUGUAGGUGCGUCCUGUCCGUGUAGGUGCGUCCCGUCCGUGUAGGUGCGUCCUGUCCGUGUAGGUGCGUCCCGUCCGUGUAGGUGCGUCCUGUCCGUGUAGGUGCGUCCCGUCCGUGUAGGUGCGUCCUGUCCGUGUAGGUGCGUCCCGUCCGUGUAGGUGCGUCCCGUCCAUGUAGGUGCGUCCCAUCCAUGUAGGUGCGUCCCAUCCAUGUAGGUGUGUCCCGU
This is a long non-coding RNA of Myotis brandtii (Brandt's bat), 354 nucleotides long. RefSeq lists it as uncharacterized. The record is from RefSeq and is a predicted model, not a curated record. Lineage: Eukaryota; Metazoa; Chordata; Mammalia; Chiroptera; Vespertilionidae. The transcript has 3 exons.